RNAcentral lists this ribosomal RNA (491 nucleotides) under uncultured bacterium. RNAcentral describes it as "partial 16S ribosomal RNA". It matches the Rfam family "Bacterial small subunit ribosomal RNA", at positions 29 to 506 of the family's 1533-position model. The record is from RNAcentral.
AGUGAACGCUGGCGGUAGGCCUAACACAUGCAAGUCGAACGGCAGCACAGUAAGAGCUUGCUCUUACGGGUGGCGAGUGGCGGACGGGUGAGGAAUACAUCGGAAUCUACUUUUUCGUGGGGGAUAACGUAGGGAAACUUACGCUAAUACCGCAUACGACCUACGGGUGAAAGCAGGGGAUCUUCGGACCUUGCGCGAUUGAAUGAGCCGAUGUCGGAUUAGCUAGUUGGCGGGGUAAAGGCCCACCAAGGCGACGAUCCGUAGCUGGUCUGAGAGGAUGAUCAGCCACACUGGAACUGAGACACGGUCCAGACUCCUACGGGAGGCAGCAGUGGGGAAUAUUGGACAAUGGGCGCAAGCCUGAUCCAGCCAUACCGCGUGGGUGAAGAAGGCCUGCGGGUUGUAAAGCCCUUUUGUUGGGAAAGAAAAGCAGCAGGUUAAUACCCCGCUGUUCUGACGGUACCCAAAGAAUAAGCACCGGCGAACUGCGU